This 106-nucleotide transfer RNA is filed under the name Rhizoctonia solani. It matches the Rfam family "tRNA". From Rfam's summary of the family: Transfer RNA (tRNA) molecules are approximately 80 nucleotides in length. The record is from Rfam by way of RNAcentral. Lineage: Eukaryota; Fungi; Basidiomycota; Agaricomycetes; Cantharellales; Ceratobasidiaceae.
GGCCGCUUGGUCUAGUAGUAUGAUUCCUGUUUUGGGAGACUUACGUAAGAGUGCUUACGCAUUCCUGAGUUACAGGAGGUCGUGGGUUCAAUUCCCACAGCGGCCC